Molecule: ribosomal RNA, 305 nt
Filed under: uncultured bacterium
Lineage: Bacteria
Description: bacterial SSU rRNA
Rfam family: Bacterial small subunit ribosomal RNA
Source: RNAcentral
UUCGCCUACGGGGGGCAGCAGUGAGGAAUAUUGGUCAAUGGGCGAGAGCCUGAACCAGCCAAGUCGCGUGAAGGAUGACGGCCCUAUGGGUUGUAAACUUCUUUUGUCAGGGAGCAAUUGGGUCCACGCGUGGGCUUAGCGAGAGUACCUGAAGAAAAAGCAUCGGCUAACUCCGUGCCAGCAGCCGCGGUAAUACGGAGGAUGCGAGCGUUAUCCGGAUUUAUUGGGUUUAAAGGGUGCGUAGGCGGGCUUUUAAGUCAGCGGUAAAAAUUCGGGGCUCAACCCCGUCCGGCCGUUGAAACUGG